AAAACUCUAAGCGGUGGAUCACUCGGCUCAUGGGUCGAUGAAGAACGCAGCAAACUGUGCGUCAUCGUGUGAACUGCAGGACACAUGAACAUCGACAUUUUGAACGCAUAUCGCAGUCCAUGCUGUUAUGUACUUUAAUUAAUUUUAUAGUGCUGCUUGGACUACAUAUGGUUGAGGGUUGUAAGACUAUGCUAAUUAAGUUGCUUAUAAAUUUUUAUAAGCAUAUGGUAUAUUAUUGGAUAAAUAUAAUAAUUUUUAUUCAUAAUAUUAAAAAAUAAAUGAAAAACAUUAUCUCACAUUUGAAUGUGAAAAACGAAGAGAAAUAUUUUCUUUUUCAAUCAAAUAAUACUGAGAAAUGUCUAGCAUAAAAAAUUGAAAUAUUUUUCAUCUAGAAUUGUCUCUUAUUAAUGAUUCGGAAAUAGAAAAAUCUUGGUUAUGUUAUUAUUCUUCGUUGGUUCGUUAAAAAUGGAUAAAUAAAAACUUUGCAUACAAGAAUUAAUAAAAAUGUUAUAACGAAUUUAAUUAAAUGUUUUAUCAUUAUAUAUAAAGAAUUUAUGGCAAGAUAAAGUUAUAUACAACCUCAACUCAUAUGGGACUACCCCCUGAAUUUAAGCAUAUUAAUUAGGGGAGGAAAAGAAACUAACAAGGAUUUUCUUAGUAGCGGCGAGCGAAAAGAAAACAGUUCAGCACUAAGUCACUUUGUCUAUAUGGCAAAUGUGAGAUGCAGUGUAUGGAGCGUCAAUAUUCUAGUAUGAGAAAUUAACGAUUUAAGUCCUUCUUAAAUGAGGCCAUUUACCCAUAGAGGGUGCCAGGCCCGUAUAACGUUAAUGAUUACUAGAUGAUGUUUCCAAAGAGUCGUGUUGCUUGAUAGUGCAGCACUAAGUGGGUGGUAAACUCCAUCUAAAACUAAAUAUAACCAUGAGACCGAUAGUAAACAAGUACCGUGAGGGAAAGUUGAAAAGAACUCUGAAUAGAGAGUUAAACAGUACGUGAAACUGCUUAGAGGUUAAGCCCGAUGAACCUGAAUAUCCGUUAUGGAAAAUUCAUCAUUAAAAUUGUAAUAUUUAAAUAAUAUUAUGAGAAUAGUGUGCAUUUUUUCCAUAUAAGGACAUUGUAAUCUAUUAGCAUAUACCAAAUUUAUCAUAAAAUAUAACUUAUAGUUUAUUCCAAUUAAAUUGCUUGCAUUUUAACACAGAAUAAAUGUUAUUAAUUUGAUAAAGUGCUGAUAGAUUUAUAUGAUUACAGUGCGUUAAUUUUUCGGAAUUAUAUAAUGGCAUAAUUAUCAUUGAUUUUUGUGUUUAUUAUAUGCACUUGUAUGAUUAACAAUGCGAAAGAUUCAGGAUACCUUCGGGACCCGUCUUGAAACACGGACCAAGGAGUCUAACAUAUGUGCAAGUUAUUGGGAUAUAAACCUAAUAGCGUAAUUAACUUGACUAAUAAUGGGAUUAGUUUUUUAGCUAUUUAUAGCUAAUUAACACAAUCCCGGGGCGUUCUAUAUAGUUAUGUAUAAUGUAUAUUUAUAUUAUUUAUGCCUCUAACUGGAACGUACCUUGAGCAUAUAUGCUGUGACCCGAAAGAUGGUGAACUAUACUUGAUCAGGUUGAAGUCAGGGGAAACCCUGAUGGAAGACCGAAACAGUUCUGACGUGCAAAUCGAUUGUCAGAAUUGAGUAUAGGGGCGAAAGACCAAUCGAACCAUCUAGUAGCUGGUUCCUUCCGAAGUUUCCCUCAGGAUAGCUGGUGCAUUUUAAUAUUAUAUAAAAUAAUCUUAUCUGGUAAAGCGAAUGAUUAGAGGCCUUAGGGUCGAAACGAUCUUAACCUAUUCUCAAACUUUAAAUGGGUAAGAACCUUAACUUUCUUGAUAUGAAGUUCAAGGUUAUGAUAUAAUGUGCCCAGUGGGCCACUUUUGGUAAGCAGAACUGGCGCUGUGGGAUGAACCAAACGUAAUGUUACGGUGCCCAAAUUAACAACUCAUGCAGAUACCAUGAAAGGCGUUGGUUGCUUAAAACAGCAGGACGGUGAUCAUGGAAGUCGAAAUCCGCUAAGGAGUGUGUAACAACUCACCUGCCGAAGCAACUAGCCCUUAAAAUGGAUGGCGCUUAAGUUGUAUACCUAUACAUUACCGCUAAAGUAGAUGAUUUAUAUUACUUGUGAUAUAAAUUUUGAAACUUUAGUGAGUAGGAAGGUACAAUGGUAUGCGUAGAAGUGUUUGGCGUAAGCCUGCAUGGAGCUGCCAUUGGUACAGAUCUUGGUGGUAGUAGCAAAUAAUCGAAUGAGACCUUGGAGGACUGAAGUGGAGAAGGGUUUCGUGUGAACAGUGGUUGAUCACGAGUUAGUCGGUCCUAAGUUCAAGGCGAAAGCCGAAAAUUUUCAAGUAAAACAAAAAUGCCUAACUAUAUAAACAAAGCGAAUUAUAAUACACUUGAAUAAUUUUGAACGAAAGGGAAUACGGUUCCAAUUCCGUAACCUGUUGAGUAUCCGUUUGUUAUUAAAUAUGGGCCUCGUGCUCAUCCUGGCAACAGGAACGACCAUAAAGAAGCCGUCGAGAGAUAUCGGAAGAGUUUUCUUUUCUGUUUUAUAGCCGUACUACCAUGGAAGUCUUUCGCAGAGAGAUAUGGUAGAUGGGCUAGAAGAGCAUGACAUAUACUGUUGUGUCGAUAUUUUCUCCUCGGACCUUGAAAAUUUAUGGUGGGGACACGCAAACUUCUCAACAGGCCGUACCAAUAUCCGCAGCUGGUCUCCAAGGUGAAGAGUCUCUAGUCGAUAGAAUAAUGUAGGUAAGGGAAGUCGG
RNAcentral lists this ribosomal RNA (2790 nucleotides) under Drosophila melanogaster (fruit fly). RNAcentral's name for it is "eukaryotic LSU rRNA". The stretch from base 576 to 2790 matches the Rfam family "Eukaryotic large subunit ribosomal RNA", at positions 1 to 1917 of the family's 3401-position model. Lineage: Eukaryota; Metazoa; Arthropoda; Insecta; Diptera; Drosophilidae. The record is from RNAcentral.